AUACGAAGGUCCCAAGCGUUAUUCGGAAUCACUGGGCGUAAAGAGUACGUAGGCGGUUUGGUAAGUCAGGUGUGAAAUCCCGAAGCUCAACUUCGGAACUGCAUCCGAUACUGCCAGACUAGAGUAAUGGAGAGGCAGGUGGAAUUCUCGGUGUAGCAGUGAAAUGCGUGGAUAUCGAGAGGAAGACCAAUGGCGAAGGCAGCCUGCUGGACAUUUACUGACGCUGAGGUACGAAGGCUAGGGGAGCGAAAGGAAUUAGAAACCCCAGUAGUCC
RNAcentral lists this ribosomal RNA (274 nucleotides) under uncultured bacterium. Its description in RNAcentral is "partial 16S ribosomal RNA". It matches the Rfam family "Bacterial small subunit ribosomal RNA", at positions 523 to 796 of the family's 1533-position model. The record is from RNAcentral.